This 1930-nucleotide ribosomal RNA is filed under the name Salmonella enterica subsp. enterica serovar Paratyphi B. Its description in RNAcentral is "partial 23S ribosomal RNA". It matches the Rfam family "Bacterial large subunit ribosomal RNA", at positions 950 to 2780 of the family's 2925-position model. The record is from RNAcentral. Lineage: Bacteria; Pseudomonadati; Pseudomonadota; Gammaproteobacteria; Enterobacterales; Enterobacteriaceae.
CAAACUGCGAAUACCGGAGAAUGUUAUCACGGGAGACACACGGCGGGUGCUAACGUCCGUCGUGAAGAGGGAAACAACCCAGACCGCCAGCUAAGGUCCCAAAGUCAUGGUUAAGUGGGAAACGAUGUGGGAAGGCCCAGACAGCCAGGAUGUUGGCUUAGAAGCAGCCAUCAUUUAAAGAAAGCGUAAUAGCUCACUGGUCGAGUCGGCCUGCGCGGAAGAUGUAACGGGGCUAAACCAUGCACCGAAGCUGCGGCAGCGAACGUAUCACUUAAAGCGAUUCAGCGGGUUACGAUUGACGGAGCGAAGCGACGUCAAAGCGUAUACAAAGUCGAGUCGGUUUAAGGAUACGUUCGUUGGGUAGGGGAGCGUUCUGUAAGCCUGUGAAGGUGUGUCGUGAGGCAUGCUGGAGGUAUCAGAAGUGCGAAUGCUGACAUAAGUAACGAUAAAGCGGGUGAAAAGCCCGCUCGCCGGAAGACCAAGGGUUCCUGUCCAACGUUAAUCGGGGCAGGGUGAGUCGACCCCUAAGGCGAGGCCGAAAGGCGUAGUCGAUGGGAAACGGGUUAAUAUUCCCGUACUUGGUGUUACUGCGAAGGGGGGACGGAGAAGGCUAUGUUGGCCGGGCGACGGUUGUCCCGGUUUAAGCGUGUAGGUGUGUGUUCCAGGUAAAUCCGGUUCACUUUAACACUGAGGCGUGAUGACGAGGCACUACGGUGCUGAAGCAACAAAUGCCCUGCUUCCAGGAAAAGCCUCUAAGCAUCAGGUAACAUCAAAUCGUACCCCAAACCGACACAGGUGGUCAGGUAGAGAAUACCAAGGCGCUUGAGAGAACUCGGGUGAAGGAACUAGGCAAAAUGGUGCCGUAACUUCGGGAGAAGGCACGCUGACACGUAGGUGAAGUGAUUUACUCAUGGAGCUGAAGUCAGUCGAAGAUACCAGCUGGCUGCAACUGUUUAUUAAAAACACAGCACUGUGCAAACACGAAAGUGGACGUAUACGGUGUGACGCCUGCCCGGUGCCGGAAGGUUAAUUGAUGGGGUCAGCGCAAGCGAAGCUCCUGAUCGAAGCCCCGGUAAACGGCGGCCGUAACUAUAACGGUCCUAAGGUAGCGAAAUUCCUUGUCGGGUAAGUUCCGACCUGCACGAAUGGCGUAAUGAUGGCCAGGCUGUCUCCACCCGAGACUCAGUGAAAUUGAACUCGCUGUGAAGAUGCAGUGUACCCGCGGCAAGACGGAAAGACCCCGUGAACCUUUACUAUAGCUUGACACUGAACAUUGAGCCUUGAUGUGUAGGAUAGGUGGGAGGCUUUGAAGCGUGGACGCCAGUCUGCGUGGAGCCGACCUUGAAAUACCACCCUUUAAUGUUUGAUGUUCUAACGUGGACCCGUAAUCCGGGUUGCGGACAGUGUCUGGUGGGUAGUUUGACUGGGGCGGUCUCCUCCUAAAGAGUAACGGAGGAGCACGAAGGUUGGCUAAUCCUGGUCGGACAUCAGGAGGUUAGUGCAAUGGCAUAAGCCAGCUUGACUGCGAGCGUGACGGCGCGAGCAGGUGCGAAAGCAGGUCAUAGUGAUCCGGUGGUUCUGAAUGGAAGGGCCAUCGCUCAACGGAUAAAAGGUACUCCGGGGAUAACAGGCUGAUACCGCCCAAGAGUUCAUAUCGACGGCGGUGUUUGGCACCUCGAUGUCGGCUCAUCACAUCCUGGGGCUGAAGUAGGUCCCAAGGGUAUGGCUGUUCGCCAUUUAAAGUGGUACGCGAGCUGGGUUUAGAACGUCGUGAGACAGUUCGGUCCCUAUCUGCCGUGGGCGCUGGAGAACUGAGGGGGGCUGCUCCUAGUACGAGAGGACCGGAGUGGACGCAUCACUGGUGUUCGGGUUGUCAUGCCAAUGGCACUGCCCGGUAGCUAAAUGCGGAAGAGAUAAGUGCUGAAAGCAU